CCCCAGCAACCCCUCUGUCCCAGUAGCAGUGAGCAGCGGGCCAGGCCGGGGAGAUGCUGACAGUCAUGCUAGUAUGAAGAGUCUGCUGACCAGCAGGCCUGAGGACACCACACACAAUCGCCGCAGCAGAGGCAUGGUCCAGAGCAGCUCCCCAAUCAUGCCCACAGUGGGGCCCUCCACUGCAUCCCCAGAAGAACCCCCAGGCUCCAGUUUACCCAGUGAUACAUCAGAUGAGAUCAUGGACCUUCUGGUGCAGUCAGUGACCAAGAGCAGUCCUCGUGCCUUAGCUGCUAGGGAACGCAAGCGUUCCCGCGGCAACCGCAAGUCUUGUAAGUAACCCCCCACAAUCCCACUGCCCACCUGAACCCCAUCAACCCCCUCCAACCCUGCUCUGUCCCUGCAGUGAGAAGGACGUUGAAGAGUGGGCUCGGAGAUGACCUGGUGCAGGCACUGGGACUAAGCAAGGGUCCUGGCCUGGAGGUGUGAAGGUGCUGUAUCCCGGAAAUCUAUCUGGACCCUGGACUGCAGUGCAGGAGAUGACAGAGUGAGGAGGGCCCAGAGCAGAAUUCUGGCCCCAGAACUCUGUGCCCAGGAGCCAUGCCUUGAGCAGUAUUAGCCGUGUGUGUAUGCAUGUGAGUGUGUGUGUAUGUGUGUGUGUGCAUGCAUAUGCAUGUGCAUGUGUGUGAGCUCCUUGAACGCACGGAGCAAAAUAAAAUUUUCUUAGCUAAUCCAACA
RNAcentral lists this long non-coding RNA (735 nucleotides) under Homo sapiens (human). Its description in RNAcentral is "non-protein coding lnc-FHOD1-1:1". Lineage: Eukaryota; Metazoa; Chordata; Mammalia; Primates; Hominidae. The record is from RNAcentral.